Molecule: ribosomal RNA, 193 nt
Filed under: uncultured bacterium
Lineage: Bacteria
Description: partial 16S ribosomal RNA
Rfam family: Bacterial small subunit ribosomal RNA
Source: RNAcentral
GAAAUUCGCCUUCAUGAAGCUGGAAUUGCUAGUAAUGGCAGGUCAGCAUACUGCCGUGAAUACGUUCCCGGGCCUUGUACACACCGCCCGUCACACCAUGAGAGUUGGGAAUACCCGAAGCCUGUGAGCUAACUUAUAGAGGCAGCAGUCGAAGGUAGAAUCAAUGAUUGGGGUGAAGUCGUAACAAGGUACC